GCCCAAAAAUGCUAACACUCACUGCUGUCCUGCGAGAGGGCUGGGAGAAGAGGGCUCUUCACGGCUGACACAAGAGCAACAAGCAUUCCAUAGAAACCACACUUCAGCUGAUGCAUGUUGAUCUUCUGGACCAAGUGUAUAAAAACCUCUCUCCUACCACCUGACACUAAGGGGCAGAGCACAAGGAGAAGACGGGAUGGCCUCAAGAUUUCCAGUGUGCAAAAACCCCAUUGUUUAUUCUAUGUUCUUUUUCCCCCGAGCAGUCUCUCAUCAGAACUAAGAGCUUGUCAUUCUUCCCAAUCAGUGUGUGAUCCAUAAGUGUGGAGAGUCCUGGCCUACCUCAUUUUGCUCAUGACUUGCAAGGUUUACUUGAAAAGCUCUUAGGAGCACCCGUGAAUAAACAAGAAUACAAAGU
This 415-nucleotide long non-coding RNA is filed under the name Mus caroli (Ryukyu mouse). RNAcentral's name for it is "lncRNA (MGP_CAROLIEiJ_G0005031.1)". The record is from RNAcentral. Lineage: Eukaryota; Metazoa; Chordata; Mammalia; Rodentia; Muridae.